CCCCUAUCAAGGUCGCAUCUGGAGAGUUUCCAAUACUCUGCCAGUCUCGGCUAGGGGAGGGAGAGUCAGGAAGAGGCCUACCCAUUCCAUUCCUAGCUUGGGCUAGCGAGUGGAAGGCAAUCUGCUACAAGU
Small nucleolar RNA from Tachyglossus aculeatus (Australian echidna), 132 nucleotides. The record is from RefSeq and is a predicted model, not a curated record. NCBI's taxonomy places the organism in Eukaryota, Metazoa, Chordata, Mammalia, Monotremata, Tachyglossidae.